This 74-nucleotide transfer RNA is filed under the name bacterium. RNAcentral describes it as "tRNA-Met". It matches the Rfam family "tRNA". Rfam says of the family: Transfer RNA (tRNA) molecules are approximately 80 nucleotides in length. Their secondary structure includes four short double-helical elements and three loops (D, anti-codon, and T loops). Further hydrogen bonds mediate the characteristic L-shaped molecular structure. tRNAs have two regions of fundamental functional importance: the anti-codon, which is responsible for specific mRNA codon recognition, and the 3' end, to which the tRNAs corresponding amino acid is attached (by aminoacyl-tRNA synthetases). tRNAs cope with the degeneracy of the genetic code in two manners: having more than one tRNA (with a specific anti-codon) for a particular amino acid; and 'wobble' base-pairing, i.e. permitting non-standard base-pairing at the 3rd anti-codon position. RNAcentral also lists the same sequence under 2 other names. The record is from RNAcentral.
GGGCCCGUAGCUCAGUUGGUCAGAGCAACUGACUCAUAAUCAGUUGGUCGUCCGUUCGACCCGGACCGGGCCCA